Molecule: long non-coding RNA, 545 nt
Filed under: Mus caroli (Ryukyu mouse)
Lineage: Eukaryota; Metazoa; Chordata; Mammalia; Rodentia; Muridae
Description: predicted gene 42476 (MGP_CAROLIEiJ_G0005657.1)
Source: RNAcentral
GCGAUGGUUGCUGGCUGCUUGCUUUCUCUGAAGUCCGAGUUAAACAAGAACUUCUGAGAGUUUGCAAAACUCUGUGCACACUCGCUGCAGUUUCAAAAAAGGAAACAGCAACUGUACUUCAGUGAGAAAGGCCACAGAGGGCAAUUUCAACAACUGUCCUUGUCACUUGUGUGUCCUGUCUUGGACCACACACAUCGAACUUCUGACCCCUAACUGUCUUACCCCAUCUCAAAGUCAAAGUGAGCACAUUUCCAUUCCUUGGAGAGAAGGGCCUUAACAAAUUCGUCUUCAAUCUGCCAUAGAAGGAACAGAUAUUAUUUCUGUUGUGGUCUGUGGCAUUUUCUUUGCUUAGUAACAAUUUCCUGGACCGAGACUUUUCCAUAUGUGGGUAUAAUUGUUGCUUGUUAGCAUUCUGGAAACAGGAGUGAUGGGCGUUUAUGAAGAACAAAGGUUACAGAGCGUUAGGAACUCAGGCUCAAUUGCCUACCACUGAAAUGCUGAAAAGGUAUGUGAGAUGUCUUAAAAUUAGUGUGUGUGUCUGUGUG